This 901-nucleotide ribosomal RNA is filed under the name Bipolaris iridis. Its description in RNAcentral is "LSU rRNA". It matches the Rfam family "Eukaryotic large subunit ribosomal RNA", at positions 36 to 955 of the family's 3401-position model. The record is from RNAcentral. Lineage: Eukaryota; Fungi; Ascomycota; Dothideomycetes; Pleosporales; Pleosporaceae.
AAGCAUAUCAAUAAGCGGAGGAAAAGAAACCAACAGGGAUUGCCCUAGUAACGGCGAGUGAAGCGGCAACAGCUCAAAUUUGAAAUCUGGCUCUUUUAGGGUCCGAGUUGUAAUUUGCAGAGGGCGCUUUGGCUUUGGCAGCGGUCCAAGUUCCUUGGAACAGGACGUCACAGAGGGUGAGAAUCCCGUACGUGGUCGCUGGCUAUUGCCGUGUAAAGCCCCUUCGACGAGUCGAGUUGUUUGGGAAUGCAGCUCUAAAUGGGAGGUACAAUUCUUCUAAAGCUAAAUAUUGGCCAGAGACCGAUAGCGCACAAGUAGAGUGAUCGAAAGAUGAAAAGCACUUUGGAAAGAGAGUCAAACAGCACGUGAAAUUGUUGAAAGGGAAGCGCUUGCAGCCAGACUUGCUUGCAGUUGCUCAUCCGGGCUUUUGCCCGGUGCACUCUUCUGUAGGCAGGCCAGCAUCAGUUCGAGCGGUAGGAUAAAGGUCUCUGUCACGUACCUCCUUUCGGGGAGGCCUUAUAGGGGAGACGACAUACUACCAGCUUGGACUGAGGUCCGCGCAUCUGCUAGGAUGCUGGCGUAAUGGCUGUAAGCGGCCCGUCUUGAAACACGGACCAAGGAGUCUAACAUCUAUGCGAGUGUUUGGGUGUCAAGCCCGAGCGCGUAAUGAAAGUGAACGGAGGUGGGAACCCGCAAGGGUGCACCAUCGACCGAUCCUGAUGUCUUCGGAAGGAUUUGAGUAAGAGCAUGGCUGUUGGGACCCGAAAGAUGGUGAACUAUGCUUGAAUAGGGUGAAGCCAGAGGAAACUCUGGUGGAGGCUCGCAGCGGUUCUGACGUGCAAAUCGAUCGUCAAAUUUGGGCAUAGGGGCGAAAGACUAAUCGAACUAUCUAGUAGCUGGU